RNAcentral lists this ribosomal RNA (875 nucleotides) under Bursaphelenchus xylophilus (pine wood nematode). RNAcentral describes it as "eukaryotic LSU rRNA". The stretch from base 345 to 497 matches the Rfam family "5.8S ribosomal RNA". Lineage: Eukaryota; Metazoa; Nematoda; Chromadorea; Rhabditida; Aphelenchoididae. The record is from RNAcentral.
AGGUAGCCGUAGGUGAACCUUCGGCUGGAUCAUUACCGAUCCUAUGACACAUUUAUUCGUGCUCGUCACGAUGAUGCGAUUGGUGACUUCGGUUGCCGCGCAUGAUGGCGGUUCGAUUCGCGUCGUUCCGCCUACUUAUGGUUCGCAUGGAAGCCGAGAGGCGACCGUGCAACGGUGAAGUCUGGGUUUCUACGUGCUGUUGUUGAGUUGGCGUUUUACCGUGCCGACAGAUGAGACCAGCCAGCUGCUUGCCGAUUCGUUCUGGCGAGCGUAGGAUUGAAAAGCCCGAGAGGCUGCCCUGACAAAACAUUCAUUUUACAUUUAUUUUGUUGGAAAAGAGCUUUAAGUUACUCCGGUGGAUCACUUGGCUCGCGGGUCGAUGAAGAACGCAGUGAAUUGCGAUAAUAAGUACGAAUUACAGAUAUUAUGAGUACCAUGUUUUUGAAUGCAUAUUGCGCUCUUGGGCUUUGCUCUUGAGCAUAUUCGAUUCAGGGUGUGUUUUUAAACUCGAGCAGAAACGCCGACUUGUUUUUUUCAAGUUUCUGCACGUUGUGACAGUCGUCUCGCAUUGUUCGCGCAAUGUUAGGCACCAUCUGUUUUACGCGGUUUGUUCCGCGACCAAUAUCUUCUACGCACUGUUUGUCCGUGCGGGGCGAGAGGGCUUCGUGCUCGAUUGUCGUGCGCGGCUAAACCGUUUGGUGAUGUUGUUUCAACGGCGCGGCCGUCAGGGACGUUCGGAUGAGAAUGUUUGGAGUCCUGGCUGCGGUUUGUUGAGCUUCGUCGUGAAGCCUUGCGGGCAGUGUUGUCGGAAUUGGUUGAAACCACCUGAGUUGGGUAUGACUACCUGCUGAACUUAAGCAUAUCAGUAAGCAGAG